GCUUAAUUAUACAUUAUGUCAAUCAUUCUAUAUUUUCAAUUAAAAUAAAACAUUUUAACCUUUUAGUAGAGGAGAUCAAAAAAUAUAUUAAAGCUUCAGAAACAGUACCGCAAGGGAAAGAUGAAAUAAAAAUGAAAUAAUUUUAAAGCUAACUAAAGCAGAGAUUAAAUCUCGUACCUUUUGCAUCAUGGUCCAGCCAGUCUAAGCAAGCAAAAAGAAAAUUUUAGUUUGCAUCCCCGAAACUAAGCGAGCUACUUCAAAACAGUUUAAAGAACAAACCCGUCUCUGUGGCAAUAGAGUGGGAAGAUUUUCAAGUAGAAGUGAAAAGCCUAACGAGCUUAGAGAUAGCUGGUUAUUCAGGAAAAGAAUAUUAGUUCUGCCUUAAAUUUCUGCAUGUUAAAAAACAAAAUUUAAAAUUUAAGAGUUAUUCAACUAAGGCACAGCUUAUUUGAAACAGGAUACAACCUCUAGAACAGGGUAAACAAUAUAACAUUAUAUAAAGUGGGCCUGAAGGCAGCCACCUUUUAGAAAGCGUUAAAGCUUAGUUUAUUUAUUCUAUAAAUACCAAAUACUUAUAUAAACCCCCUCAUUAAUACUGAAUGACUUUAUAAUUAUAUAAAAAACAUUAUGCUGGAACUAGUAACAAGAAUUUAAUAUUCUCCCAAAUGCAAGUAUAAGCCAAAAUGGAUACUCCACUGGCAAUUAACGGUAAUGAAUAAAAUUCAGCAACUUAUAUACAAGAAAAACCUGCAAACUCAACCGUUAACCUUACACCAGAACAUUACAGGAAAGAUUAAAAGAGAAAGAAGGAACUCGGCAAAUAAUAACCCCGCCUGUUUACCAAAAACAUCGCCUCUUGACAAGAUAUAAGAGGUCCAGCCUGCCCAGUGACAAAAUUUAACGGCCGCGGUACCCUGACCGUGCGAAGGUAGCAUAAUCACUUGUUCUUUAAAUAGGGACUAGUAUCAACGGCAUCACGAGGGUUACACUGUCUCCUUUCUCCAAUCAGUGAAACUGAUCUUCCCGUGAAGAAGCGGGAAUACACCUAUAAGACGAGAAGACCCCAUGGAGCUUUAAAUUUCACAGCAACUCAGUCACAUAUUUCUUUAUAUUUAACAGAGCCAUGCAUGCCAAUUUUAGGUUGGGGUGACCGCGGAGUAUAAAACAACCUCCACAUCGAAAAGAACUAAAUCUUUAUUCAAGAGCUACAACUCUAAAAAUUAGUACACUAACGAACAAUGACCCGAUAAUCGAUCAACGGACCAAGUUACCCUGGGGAUAACAGCGCAAUCUACUUCAAGAGCCCAUAUCGACAAGUAGGCUUACGACCUCGAUGUUGGAUCAGGGUAUCCCAGUGGUGCAGCCGCUACUAAAUGGUUCGU
Molecule: ribosomal RNA, 1382 nt
Filed under: Zhangixalus dulitensis
Lineage: Eukaryota; Metazoa; Chordata; Amphibia; Anura; Rhacophoridae
Description: Rhacophorus dulitensis partial 16S rRNA
Rfam family: Bacterial large subunit ribosomal RNA
Source: RNAcentral